AUUGAACGCUGGCGGCAUGCCUAACACAUGCAAGUCGAACGAGUGGCGGACGGGUGAGUAAUGUCUGGGAAACUGCCCGAUGGAGGGGGAUAACUACUGGAAACGGUAGCUAAUACCGCAUACCAUCGGAUGUGCCCCGAUGGGAUUAGCUCGUAGGUGGGGGAUCGGCUCACCAAGGCGACGAUCCCUAGCGGGGCUGAGAGGAUGACCAGCCACACUGGAACUGAGACACGGUCCAGACUCCUACGGGAGGCAGCAGUGGGGAAUAUUGCACAAUGGGCGCAAGCCUGAUGCAGCCAUGCCGCGUGUAUGAAGAAGGCCUUCGGGUUGUAAAGUACUUUCAGCAGGGAGGCGUUACUCGCAGAAGAAGCACCGGCUAACUACGUGCCAGCCGCCGCGGUAAUAC
This 406-nucleotide ribosomal RNA is filed under the name uncultured bacterium. Its description in RNAcentral is "partial 16S ribosomal RNA". It matches the Rfam family "Bacterial small subunit ribosomal RNA", at positions 30 to 526 of the family's 1533-position model. The record is from RNAcentral.